GACGAACGCUGGCGGCGUGCCUAAUACAUGCAAGUUGAGCGCUGAAGGUUGGUACUUGUACCAACUGGAUGAGCAGCGAACGGGUGAGUAACGCGUGGGGAAUCUGCCUUUGAGCGGGGGACAACAUUUGGAAACGAAUGCUAAUACCGCAUAAAAACUUUAAACACAAGUUUUAAGUUUGAAAGAUGCAAUUGCAUCACUCAAAGAUGACCCCGCGUUGUAUUAGCUAGUUGGUGAGGUAAAGGCUCACCAAGGCGAUGAUACAUAGCCGACCUGAGAGGGUGAUAGGACACGUUGGGACUGGGGCACGGCCCGAACUCCUACGGGAGGGAGCAGUAGGGAAUUUUCGGGAAAGGACGAAAGGCUGAACCAGCCACGCCGGGUGAGUGAAGAAGGUUUUCGGAUCGUAAAACUCUGUUGGUAGAGAAGAACGUUGGUGAGAGUGGAAAGCUCAUCAAGUGACGGUAACUACCCAGAAAGGGACGGCUAACUACGUG
RNAcentral lists this ribosomal RNA (497 nucleotides) under uncultured bacterium. Its description in RNAcentral is "partial 16S ribosomal RNA". It matches the Rfam family "Bacterial small subunit ribosomal RNA", at positions 28 to 507 of the family's 1533-position model. The record is from RNAcentral.